AGAAAGUUACUUGGUACAUCGGUGACAGGUGGUGCAUGGUUGUCGUCAGCUCGUGUCGUGAGAUGUUGGGUUUAAGUCCCGCAACGAGCGCAACCCCUAUUGUUAGUUGCCAUCAUUCAGUUGGGCACUCUAGCGAGACUGCCGGUAAUAACCGGAGAAGUGGGGAUGACGUCAAAUCAUCAUGCCCCUUAUGACCUGGGCUACACACGUGCUACAAUGGUUGGUACAACGAGUUGCGAGUCGGUGACGGCGAGCUAAUCUCUUAAAGCCAAUCUCAGUUCGGAUUGUAGGCUGCAACUCGCCUACAUGAAGUCGGAAUCGCUAGUAAUCGCGGAUCAGCACGCCGCGGUGAAUACGUUCCCGGGCCUU
Molecule: ribosomal RNA, 369 nt
Filed under: uncultured Streptococcus sp.
Lineage: Bacteria; Bacillati; Bacillota; Bacilli; Lactobacillales; Streptococcaceae
Description: bacterial SSU rRNA
Rfam family: Bacterial small subunit ribosomal RNA
Source: RNAcentral